Danio rerio (zebrafish) is the source of this 216-nucleotide non-coding RNA. The record is from Ensembl. NCBI's taxonomy places the organism in Eukaryota, Metazoa, Chordata, Actinopteri, Cypriniformes, Danionidae.
AAUCCCACCCGUGUUAAUGGUGAUUGGCCUGGUGACACAGUCGGCAGAUUUGAACUGAUAUGCUACUUGUGUGAAUUACAUUCAAAAGGUUCUCUAAGAAGAAACUCUGGGUUGGGUUUUAAUUCCUUUCGGUUAGGUCCAGUUAUGUAAGGGCAGCCGCUCGCCUCCUCCGUGGGUGUGACUGGCACUGGUGAGGUGGUGGGACCCUUUAAUGGU